UUAUUUUACUUGUAGUUCGCUGUGUCGGAUCGUUGGCGCUAAUCAUUAAUCCCAAAAGCUCAAGCUGUUAAAAUUACGCAACCAAUUCACUUAAAGCGUACAGAUACAGAGCCAACAGGUCUCGAUUGUGACUCGGCCCAACCAGCCUCACGCCACUUCGAACAUGACUCGGCCCACACAUGACCUUCUGUCAUAGGGCAGGAUGCUGGCCCAUUUAAGUCCACACGCUAUGGUUAUACUUGUUGGAUUGAAUGGACUAGGUUGGGGCGAGUUAUAGUCGAAGCCUGCAAGCGUUU
This 296-nucleotide long non-coding RNA is filed under the name Ananas comosus (pineapple). RNAcentral's name for it is "long non-coding RNA (ACOM_LNC011714)". Lineage: Eukaryota; Viridiplantae; Streptophyta; Magnoliopsida; Poales; Bromeliaceae. The record is from RNAcentral.